RNAcentral lists this ribosomal RNA (468 nucleotides) under uncultured bacterium. RNAcentral describes it as "partial 16S ribosomal RNA". It matches the Rfam family "Bacterial small subunit ribosomal RNA", at positions 28 to 507 of the family's 1533-position model. The record is from RNAcentral.
GACGAACGCUGGCGGCGUGCUUAACACAUGCAAGUCGAACGGAAAGGCCCUGCUUUUGUGGGGUGCUCGAGUGGCGAACGGGUGAGUAACACGUGAGUAACCUGCCCUUGACUUUGGGAUAACUUCAGGAAACUGGGGCUAAUACCGGAUAGGAGCUCCUGCUGCAUGGUGGGGGUUGGAAAGUUUCGGCGGUUGGGGAUGGACUCGCGGCUUAUCAGCUUGUUGGUGGGGUAGUGACUUACCAAGGCUUUGACGGGUAGCCGGCCUGAGAGGGUGACCGGCCACAUUGGGACUGAGAUACGGCCCAGACCCCUACGGGAGGCAGCAGUGGGGAAUAUUGCGCAAUGGGCGGAAGCCUGAUGCAGCAACGCCGCGUGCGGGAUGACGGCCUUCGGGUUGUAAACCGCUUUCGCCUGUGACGAAGCGUGAGUGACGGUAAUGGGUAAAGAAGCACCGGCUAACUACAUG